GGAGGAUGGACUGCCAUCUCUAAGAGAAAGACUUGCCCCCAAAUUUGUUUUGGCCAGAAAUGGUGAGAAGAAAAAGCAUGAAGAAGCCGCGGAGUGUGGGGGAGAAAAAGGUGGAAGCGAAGAAACAGCUCCCGGAGCAAACUGUACAAAACCUCGCCAAGAGUGUGGGGAGGCAGGACCGUUAUUCCUGCGGAGCAGGAGAGAGAGAGACCCUGAAACACGCGCCACCUAUCUUUGUGGGGAGGGAUAAUUGAAGCGCCCUGAGCGUGAGCAUCAUGUGAAAACGUGAUCGCCAAGUUUCUCUCUGGGAAAGGAUCUGGGAUAGAUUAUACCUUGAAG
Eptesicus fuscus (big brown bat) is the source of this 339-nucleotide long non-coding RNA. RefSeq lists it as uncharacterized. The record is from RefSeq and is a predicted model, not a curated record. The transcript is spliced from 3 exons. NCBI's taxonomy places the organism in Eukaryota, Metazoa, Chordata, Mammalia, Chiroptera, Vespertilionidae.